Molecule: ribosomal RNA, 460 nt
Filed under: uncultured bacterium
Lineage: Bacteria
Description: partial 16S ribosomal RNA
Rfam family: Bacterial small subunit ribosomal RNA
Source: RNAcentral
CCUACGGGAGGCAGCAGUGAGGAAUAUUGGUCAAUGGACGAGAGUCUGAACCAGCCAAGUAGCGUGAAGGAUGACUGCCCUAUGGGUUGUAAACUUCUUUUAUAUGGGAAUAAAAUGUUCCACGUGUGGGAUUUUGUAUGUACCAUAUGAAUAAGGAUCGGCUAACUCCGUGCCAGCAGCCGCGGUAAUACGGAGGAUCCGAGCGUUAUCCGGAUUUAUUGGGUUUAAAGGGAGCGUAGGUGGAUUUUUAAGUCAGUUGUGAAAGUUUGCGGCUCAACCGUAAAAUUGAAGUUGAAACUGGCAGUCUUGAGUACAGUAGAGGUGGGCGGAAUUCGUGGUGUAGCGGUGAAAUGCUUAGAUAUCACGAAGAACUCCGAUUGCGAAGGCAGUUCACUGGACUGCAACUGACACUGAGGCUCGAAAGUGUGGGUAUCAAACAGGAUUAGAUACCCUUGUAGUC